Long non-coding RNA from Gasterosteus aculeatus aculeatus (three-spined stickleback), 2449 nucleotides. The record is from Ensembl. NCBI's taxonomy places the organism in Eukaryota, Metazoa, Chordata, Actinopteri, Perciformes, Gasterosteidae.
CCCCCCCCCCCUCAGAUGUGGUUUCUCCUUCACCUCAAGUGUUCUACAAUCAAGUUUAUAGUUUUAAAGACGAGGCUGGUGGAGUUCUACGUAUUCUUGUUUCUCCAUAAAUCCCAUGAAAAGGAAAACUGAACAUUAAGAGUCCGUGGCUCUCACGACUAAGCAUGUUUUUAUAUUUACAUUUUUUUUAAAUGAAUGAAUGAUUUUCUAAAAUACCCGAGCACUGUAGUUUCUCGAACAAGAUUACUUUAAUUGAUAGGCCUGUUCCACCGGGUGCAUGUGCAGCAGCAGGACGACGAUGGAGGCAGAAAGAAGCCACACGUACUACAUUCGUGGAUCGAGCGUUUUCAUGGGAUUUGCUGGAACUAAGAAACACGUAGAAUCCUCCACAUUCUUUGCCAGAGGUUGUGCGUUGUGCAUGUGUAAGAUAACACAGACAGGUUUCUGUUUUGGGAUGAUGAGAGCACAGGUUUCGAAUACGAGGCAGCACUUACAAUGUAAAAAUAUUUUCCCUUUCUAUUCUAGAUAAAGAAAUGAAUCAGUAAUCUACAAAUCAUUUGUGUAGUGAAAUUUGCUAAUGGUGUUUGUAUUUUGUUUUGUGUAAUUACGACAAUUUCCUUUAAACAAUUUCAUGAUUUGUCUUAGCGAAGAUCUCAUCAGUAUAUGUGAACAUUUUAAAAACUCCUUGUCCGGUAUUGAGAAUAGAGGUUUGGAAUCAGGGUAUUUCACACUUGUUACUGUCACGGGGGAAAUGUUUAAACUUCUUUUCUAAUUUCAAAGUGGAUGAAAUGGUACAGAAAACUAUAUUGAACCAUAAGUACAGAUUUCUACCACGCAGCUGCUUUAAAUGGAGCAUUUAUGUAAUUGAUGAUUCCCCGACAAAAGAAUCAAAGCGCCUGUGUCAGAUUGUGUUUACUUUCCGUCUACAUCUUUCUGAAAACUGGGACGUCAAAAGGAUUUGCUUCGUGACAAAGACGUAGUGUUGUAGACGAGAGCCGGAAUGUUUGCUAACUAAUACCACUCAAUCCGACAAGCAGAGUAUAUCAAAUACCAUUGUGAUAUGUACUUUAAGCCGACUUUUCUCCCUGUUAAUGUGAACGCACUGAUACAUCUGUGAUAUUUUUAUAAAAUUUUACAUCAAACCUGGAUUAUUGUCUGUUUAAUUCAAUGGGAAAGUCUGAGAAGAUAACAAACGUCAGAAUAUCCGGUACAAAUAAAGCCCCAUACAUGGACUGCUGUAAGAAAUAGUUGUUUAUUUGCAUCGUUAUUAUUUACAAGAAGGACCGUUAGACAGUCGAUUGUGAUAUGAAGGCGAGUUCAGGGAGGAUUGCAAAGGGAUAACAACAUUUUUUGUUGUUGUUGUUGUUGUUGUUGUUGCUCGCAGCAAUGGUCCGGUUUAACCUGGAGUCUAUUUCUGAGCAUCCGAUAAGCCUGCGUGGGGAAGAGGGCCGGGGAGGGUUUAAACAGCAGACGGGGAUGGAUGGAAAUCAGGUCCACUUUUAUUUCUCCGCGAGAGGUGAACCAGACGCUGGUUUGGAAGGCCACACAACCGCCCAGCCUGCAGGUUCAGGUUCAGGUUGAGUGCGAUGGGAGACGUGCGAUGGGAGACGUGCGCUCAGCCCUGUUUGCCCCGGGAGCUGCCGUGUUUGCGGCGACAGGACCCCAGCAGUGUCUCCAAAGCCAUCUUCACAAACGCCUGGAAGUUAUUGCUUCUCUCCCUUCGGCUGUCCUGCUAGGAGAAGAAGCGCAGACAGAUACCUACACUUGGAAUGUCUUUUUUUAAUUUUUUAAUUUGUGUUUAAACUUGGAAUGCAUCUACUGUGUGCACAGGUUUGAUCCACCGGGUCAAAAUGUCAUGCGGACCAAAUGCAGCCUCGUGUAAAUGCUUACCUCCUUGCUUUUUGGUAUCAUCUCCUUUCGGCUCAGCUUUCUUCGGCUGCUCUUUAGGACUCUGAGGUUGCUGUGAAGUGAAGGCAAUAAUAACCGUCAAAUGAAACAAUAAAUACUCAGUAGAAAACUAGUGUAUGAGUACAGUAUAGUAAUGAUUUUUCCUACCUUGGUAGCUGACUUCUUGUCCGACUUAUUACCUGAGAACGGAAACAGACAGACGUUAAUUUUUGAAUUAGCCAUUUAAACGUAUACACCAUUGAACAUGCAGCUCAGCUAGCACGUAGAUAAAUAAAAACAAAACGUAUUUUUAUCUAAAUAAAUGUUUCUUUCCCAUUUUGUACCUUUUGUUCCAGGCAUUUUGGCUGUGCUCCAGUCAGGUCUGAUUCCUGAGAAUGCAGUGCUCAAUGCGGCGUUCAACUCGGCCAUUUAUGGCCCUUGCUUGUGAAUGACUCCGUCACCGGGGCCCCUUUGAGAUAGAGCGCCUCGAACAAGCAAAGAGCCCCGUCAGCUGAGCAGCUCCGCAGGUCUCUGCUGAGCCAGGCGAAACCUCCGAGCUGAC